This 468-nucleotide ribosomal RNA is filed under the name uncultured bacterium. RNAcentral's name for it is "partial 16S ribosomal RNA". It matches the Rfam family "Bacterial small subunit ribosomal RNA", at positions 28 to 507 of the family's 1533-position model. The record is from RNAcentral.
GACGAACGCUGGCGGCGUGCUUAACACAUGCAAGUCGAACGGAAAGGCCCUGCUUUUGUGGGGUGCUCGAGUGGCGAACGGGUGAGUAACACGUGAGUAACCUGCCCUUGACUUUGGGAUAACUUCAGGAAACUGGGGCUAAUACCGGAUAGGAGCUCCUGCUGCAUGGUGGGGGUUGGAAAGUUUCGGCGGUUGGGGAUGGACUCGCGGCUUAUCCGCUGGUUGGUGGGGUAGUGGCUUACAAAGGCUUUGACGGGUAGCCGGCCUGAGAGGGUGACCGGCCACAUUGGGACUAAGAUACGGACCAGACUCCUACGGGAGGCAGCAGGGGGGAAUAUUGCACAAUGGGCGGAAGCCUGAUACAACAACGCCGCGUGCGGGAUGACGGCUUUCGGGUUGUAAACCGCUUUCUACUGAGACGAAGCGUGAGUGACGGUAAUGGGUAAAGAAGCACCGGCUAACUACGUG